GACGAACGCUGGCGGCGUGCUUAACACAUGCAAGUCGAACGGUGAAGCGCCUUCCUUUUUGGUGGGUGUGGAUGAGUGGCGAACGGGUGAGUAACACGUGAGUAACCUGCCCCCUUCUUCUGGAUAACCGCAUGCAAGUGUGGCUAAUACGGGAUAUUCUGGGUCUGUCGCAUGAUGGGUCUGGGAAAGAUAUUGUUUCGGUGGGGGAUGGGCUCGCGGCCUAUCAGCUUGUUGGUGGGGUGAUGGCCUACCAAGGCGGUGACGGGUAGCCGGCCUGAGAGGGUGGACGGCAACACUGGGAAGGAGACACGGCCCAGACUCCUACGGGAGGCAGCAGUGGGGAAUAUGGCACAAUGGGCGCAAGCCUGAUGCAGCGACGCCGCGUGAGGGAUGGAGGCCUUCGGGUUGUGAACCUCUUUCGCCAGUGAAGCAGGCCUGCCUCGUUUGUGGGUGGGUUGACGGUAGCUGGAUAAGAAGCGCCGGCUAACUACGUG
This 494-nucleotide ribosomal RNA is filed under the name uncultured bacterium. Its description in RNAcentral is "partial 16S ribosomal RNA". It matches the Rfam family "Bacterial small subunit ribosomal RNA", at positions 28 to 507 of the family's 1533-position model. The record is from RNAcentral.